UGCAGGAGUCAGCCCCCGUCAGGACACAGCAUGGACAUGAAGGCCCCCACUCAACUCCUAGGGCUUCUGCUACUCUGGCUCCCAGGUGCCAGAUGUGACAUCCAGAUGACCCAGUCUCCAUCCUCCCUGUCUGCAUCUGUAGGAGACACAGUUACCAUCACUUGCUGGGCCAGUCAGAGCAUUAGCAGUUGGUUAACCUGGUAUCAGCAGAAACCUGGGAAACCCCCUAAGACUCUGGUCAAUAAGGCAUCUAAUUUGGAAUCUGGGGUCCCAUCGAGGUUCAGUGGCAGUGGGUCUGGGACAGAUUUCACUCUCACCAUCAGCAGCCUCCAGGCUGAAGAUUUUGCAACUUACUACUGUCUAAUAUGAUAAUUACCCUCACACAGUG
Lemur catta (Ring-tailed lemur) is the source of this 388-nucleotide non-coding RNA. Lineage: Eukaryota; Metazoa; Chordata; Mammalia; Primates; Lemuridae. The record is from the annotation of a RefSeq genome assembly.